GGUGAACGCUGGCGGCGUGCCUUACACAUGCAAGUCGAGCGAAGCUGCUGGUGGAAUCCUUUCGGGGAGGAAGCCAGUAGACUGAGCGGCGGACGGGUGAGUAACGCGUAGGUGACCUACCCCUCAGAGGGGGAUAACUGGGGGAAACCUCAGCUAAUACCCCAUACGUUCCUACCUAUAAGCAGGUAGGAAGAAAGGGAGCAAUAGCUCUGCUGAGGGAGGGGCCUGCGACCCAUCAGGUAGUUGGUGAGGUAACGGCUCACCAAGCCUACGACGGGUAGCCGGUCUGAGAGGAUGGCCGGCCACAAGGGCACUGAGACACGGGUCCUACUCCUACGGGAGGCAGCAGUGGGGGAUUUUGGACAAUGGGCGAAAGCCUGAUCCAGCGACGCCGCGUGCGGGACGAAGCCCUUCGGGGUGUAAACCGCUGUGGUGGGAGACGAAUAAGGUGAGGAGUGGAAAGCCUCACUGAUGACGGUAUCCCACUAGAAAGCCCCGGCUAACUACGUG
RNAcentral lists this ribosomal RNA (510 nucleotides) under uncultured organism. RNAcentral describes it as "bacterial SSU rRNA". It matches the Rfam family "Bacterial small subunit ribosomal RNA", at positions 28 to 507 of the family's 1533-position model. The record is from RNAcentral.